Long non-coding RNA from Toxotes jaculatrix (banded archerfish), 767 nucleotides. RefSeq lists it as uncharacterized. NCBI's taxonomy places the organism in Eukaryota, Metazoa, Chordata, Actinopteri, Toxotidae. The transcript has 3 exons. The record is from RefSeq and is a predicted model, not a curated record.
UUAACUUGUUACCGAGGAAGAGAUCCAGUUGCAGAUGACAGCUGAGUGCAUACACAGCCAGACGAAAACAGAUUUGAUCCCGGUACACCAAGGCACAGCUGUAAUCUGAGCCACAGAGCUACAAACCUGAGAGAAAUGGUGUGACUGAUCAUCAACGCCUGCAGGUAUGUGGGGCGGAAGAUCCGGGCUGCAGUGAGGGCGGAGAGGCAGCCAGAGAAAACAAGCACCACAUCACGCAGACAGGCUAAAGCACAAAGGGAUAACAGCGUGUGCACUGAACCAGCCUUGAUUCCCCAGCCAACGGAGACGGUCGAUGUGCUGCAGGAGAAUGAGUGUAGAUCCUGAAAGUAAACAGAGCUGGAGGGUAGAGUGGAAAGUUCAUAAUGAGGAGACAAACACAUAAAAACACACAAACACAAAUCCUGGUUGUUGCGCUUCUUCAGCGUGCCAUUUUUAUCCAACCUGGUAAGCAACGAAAAAAAACUGGCAUUGAAGGUAGUUUCAGACACACGGGUUUGUCACGAAAUUCCCACUUCAAAAUGGAUAUGACAUGAUGCUAGUGAGAGCGUUCGACAGUAUUGGUUUGUUUCUCCAUUUGUUUUUCAAAUAUCCUCCCUGUCAUGAGAUUCAUGUGUUCAUUCAUUGCACUGACUUGCAAAUUUGUUCCCUCCACAGUUUUACCCUGACACACAAACACAGACACAACCAGUCAUAAAAAAAAAAAUAACUAAAAUUAAACUCCUCGUUACACUGAACUCCCAUCUGCU